Molecule: long non-coding RNA, 85 nt
Organism: Amblyraja radiata (thorny skate)
Lineage: Eukaryota; Metazoa; Chordata; Chondrichthyes; Rajiformes; Rajidae
Exons: 3
Source: RefSeq, a predicted model, not a curated record
UAGACGCACAGAGUCUCUUGCCCUGAGUUGGGGAAUUGAGGACCUGAGGACAUGUGUUCAAGGUGAAGGGGAAAAGAUUUAACAU